UGUAUAUUUUUAAUCCCCCCCUAGGUCCCAUGUGGCAAAUGGGUGGGGUUUGAGCUACCAGGACCCAGACUGAAGCUGUCACAGGUGGACAGGUGCCAGAUGAGAGUGGCUCAGACAAAACGUGUAACAGCGGAAUUGGACAGUGUUUUCAAAACAUAUGUUUGAGGGUUCAAUGAGAAUGGUGAAAAAAAAUUCGAACCCAGGACUUGUCCCUAACUUUGGAGGUUGAGCAUUUACUGCGACUGAGCAGAGCAGAUGGGGAUGGGGGCAGGCCCUCAGCAGAUGGAGGAUGGUGAGGAUGAUCUUCUUUUACUCAGUCCGCGGAUUUGAAACACCCCACAGAUGGGUCCACAGGUCAUGGAGCAUCAGCUCUCCAGACAUCCCUUAGUCCGGUCGACACACAAGAUUAACCAUCACAGAGACCAAUAAAUAUUCGUGAAUAAUAGUA
Suricata suricatta (meerkat) is the source of this 448-nucleotide long non-coding RNA. RefSeq lists it as uncharacterized. The record is from RefSeq and is a predicted model, not a curated record. NCBI's taxonomy places the organism in Eukaryota, Metazoa, Chordata, Mammalia, Carnivora, Herpestidae. The transcript has 2 exons.